RNAcentral lists this transfer RNA (84 nucleotides) under Candidatus Magnetovum chiemense. Its description in RNAcentral is "Candidatus Magnetoovum chiemensis tRNA". It matches the Rfam family "tRNA". Rfam says of the family: Transfer RNA (tRNA) molecules are approximately 80 nucleotides in length. Their secondary structure includes four short double-helical elements and three loops (D, anti-codon, and T loops). The record is from Rfam by way of RNAcentral. Lineage: Bacteria; Pseudomonadati; Nitrospirota; Nitrospiria; Nitrospirales; Nitrospiraceae.
GCCGAAGUGGUGGAAAUGGCAGACACGCAAGAUUCAGGUUCUUGUGGGGGCAACUUCGUGGGGGUUCGACUCCCCCCUUCGGCA